UCAACGCUAAGCCACAUUUUCAGAACUAACUACAAGCCUUUUAUUUGUGUGAAAAGACGUUUUUAUACAGCUUUGCCUGCAUCAGCCGAGAAAUCCCACAAAGAACCUUAAUGGAGACCAAGGUUUUCACUCUCUUUGCGUUCCUGGUUGCAAUGACAACUGAGUGCAGCGCCGCAUCCUUAACCGAUGAUUUUGAUCGUCAAAAGCGCAGUGUAUGGGAUGUUGGCGGGAGUUACACCUGUAACCCUGAUCCUAAUUGCGCAGGCAGCGGUUUCACCGGAACAAUUACGAUCAAUUACCAAAAUUGCCGCUGCAGAGGAACACAGCUGUGUUGCGUGCAGAUUACAGGGAGAGGAACAUAUGGACGACCGCCCACUCCCCCUCCACGUAGCUUCGGUGGGUUUGGCAGUAGAAAUCAUGGUGGUUUCGGUACACGUGGUGGAUUCGGCGGUGGAUGGCGUGGUUAAAUGACGUGAAAACACAACUAGCAUGUGUUAGGACACUGAUUAAUUGUAUUUAAUAGUCAAAAUGGUGCCAUUGACGUAUAACUACAUCUUUACACUUUUCUUGUUGCUGUUUAUGUUCUCUUAUGAAGUAUAAAAUUAUUCCGAUGUGCGUGAACGCCGCAAACCUGCUAGAUGCUGUUUUUUCAAGAAAAUAAAUCUGUUUCGAAAAAUC
Molecule: long non-coding RNA, 678 nt
Organism: Lingula anatina
Lineage: Eukaryota; Metazoa; Brachiopoda; Lingulata; Lingulida; Lingulidae
Source: RefSeq, a predicted model, not a curated record